AAAUGAAUAGACGGGGACCCGCACAAGCGGUGGAACAUGUGGUUCAAUUCGAUGCUACGCGAAGAACCUCACCAGGGCUUGACAUAUAGGAAGUAGUGAACCGAAAGGGGAACGAGCCGUCAAGCCGGACACCUAUACAGGUGCUGCAUGGCUGUCGUCAGCUCGUGUCGUGAGAUGUUGGGUUAAGUCCCGCAACGAGCGCAACCAUUUUCCCAUGUUGCCAAGGUUUUUAGCCGAAAGGUUGAAAAUCUGCACUCUUGGGAGACUGCCUGGGAUAACCAGGAGGAAGGUGGAGAUGACGUCAAGUCAGUACGGCCUUUAUGCCCUGGGCUACACACGUGUUACAAUGGCUGUUACAAAGAGUUGCCAACCUGCGAAGGGGAGCCAAUCUCUAAAAAGCAGCCCCAGUUCAGAUUGAAGUCUGCAAUUCGACUUCAUGAAGCCGGAAUCGCUAGUAAUGGAAGAUCAGCACGCUUCCGUGAAUACGUUCCCGGGUCUUGUACACACCGCCCGU
RNAcentral lists this ribosomal RNA (514 nucleotides) under uncultured bacterium. RNAcentral's name for it is "bacterial SSU rRNA". It matches the Rfam family "Bacterial small subunit ribosomal RNA", at positions 903 to 1397 of the family's 1533-position model. The record is from RNAcentral.